This 301-nucleotide ribosomal RNA is filed under the name uncultured soil bacterium. RNAcentral's name for it is "bacterial SSU rRNA". It matches the Rfam family "Bacterial small subunit ribosomal RNA", at positions 26 to 352 of the family's 1533-position model. The record is from RNAcentral.
AGAACGAACGCUGGCGGCAUGCCUAAUACAUGCAAGUCGAACGAACACUUCGGUGUUAGUGGCGCACGGGUGCGUAACGCGUGGGAAUCUGCCCUUGGGUUCGGAAUAACAGUUGGAAACGACUGCUAAUACCGGAUGAUAUCGAAAGAUCAAAGAUUUAUCGCCCAGGGAUGAGCCCGCGUAGGAUUAGCUAGUUGGUGAGGUAAAGGCUCACCAAGGCGACGAUCCUUAGCUGGUCUGAGAGGAUGAUCAGCCACACUGGGACUGAGACACCGGCCCAGACCUCCGUACGGGAGGCAGC